Molecule: ribosomal RNA, 36 nt
Filed under: Pelobates cultripes (western spadefoot toad)
Lineage: Eukaryota; Metazoa; Chordata; Amphibia; Anura; Pelobatidae
Description: SSU_rRNA_eukarya
Source: RNAcentral
AGGGAGCAUGAGAAACGGCUACCACAUCCAAGGAAG